CUUAAACCCUGCAGUGAGUCCAGAAAGCAGUCAGGACACGGCUGAUCCUGAAGAUGGUGUUUCCUACGCCUCCUUCAGCUACACCAGGAAGACCAACAGUAAAGGCCGGGUUCUGGGUAAAGAUGGUGAUGAUGAAGAUGAUGCAGUGACCUACAGCAGCGUGAAAGCUUCCUCUUCUUCUGCUGGAGCCUCAGCUGAUCAGCUGAUUAAAGCAACAACUGACAUAUGAGAGAAAAAAGAAAGGUCAGUCACAAUGAGGAAGUGACAAAUGACUAAUUAGAGGAAACAGCUACAACUUUUUUCUUUAAGAAGCAACUCGUAGAUUUACAAGUAGAAGAAGCAGAGAGGAAAGAGAGACAGAGA
Long non-coding RNA from Micropterus salmoides (largemouth bass), 363 nucleotides. RefSeq lists it as uncharacterized. NCBI's taxonomy places the organism in Eukaryota, Metazoa, Chordata, Actinopteri, Centrarchiformes, Centrarchidae. The transcript has 3 exons. The record is from RefSeq and is a predicted model, not a curated record.